This 344-nucleotide unclassified non-coding RNA is filed under the name soil metagenome. RNAcentral describes it as "partial contains 5.8S ribosomal RNA, internal transcribed spacer 2, and large subunit ribosomal RNA". The stretch from base 1 to 120 matches the Rfam family "5.8S ribosomal RNA", at positions 35 to 154 of the family's 154-position model. The record is from RNAcentral.
GAUGAAGAACGUAGCGAAAUGCGAUAAGUAAUGUGAAUUGCAGAACUCAGUGAAUCAUCGAAUCUUUGAACGCACAUUGCGCCCCCUGGUAUUCCGGGGGGCAUGCCUGUCCGAGCGUCAUUGCUGCCCUCAAGCACGGCUUGUGUGUUGGGCCUCCGUCCUCCUCCCGGGGGACGGGCCCGAAAGGCAGCGGCGGCACCGCGUCCGGUCCUCGAGCGUAUGGGGCUUCGUCACCCGCUCUUGUAGGCCCGGCCGGCGCUUGCCGACACAUCAAUCUUUUUUCCAGGUUGACCUCGGAUCAGGUAGGAAUACCCGCUGAACUUAAGCAUAUCAAUAGCGGAGGA